GAUGAACGCUGGCGGCGUGCCUAAUACAUGCAAGUCGAGCGAACAGAUGAGGAGCUUGCUCCUCUUACGUUAGCGGCGGACGGGUGAGUAACACUUGGAUAACCUACCUAUAAGACUGGGAUAACUUCGGGAAACCGGAGCUAAUACCGGAUAAUAUAUUUAACCGCAUGGUUCAAUAGUGAAAGACGGUUUUGCUGUCACUUAUAGAUGGAUCCGCGCCGCAUUAGCUAGUUGGUAAGGUAACGGCUUACCAAGGCAACGAUGCGUAGCCGACCUGAGAGGGGGAUCGGCCACACUGGAACUGAGACACGGUCCAGACUCCUACGGGAGGCAGCAGUAGGGAAUCUUCCGCAAUGGGAGAAAGCCUGACGGAGAAACGCCGCGUGAGUGAUGAAGGUCUUCGGAUCGUAAAACUCUGUUAUUAGGGAAGAACAAAUGUGUAAGUAACUAUGCACGUCUUGACGGUACCUAAUCAGAAAGCCACGGCUAACUACGUG
This 497-nucleotide ribosomal RNA is filed under the name uncultured bacterium. RNAcentral's name for it is "partial 16S ribosomal RNA". It matches the Rfam family "Bacterial small subunit ribosomal RNA", at positions 28 to 507 of the family's 1533-position model. The record is from RNAcentral.